Molecule: non-coding RNA, 1465 nt
Organism: Ictidomys tridecemlineatus (thirteen-lined ground squirrel)
Lineage: Eukaryota; Metazoa; Chordata; Mammalia; Rodentia; Sciuridae
Source: RefSeq, a predicted model, not a curated record
UCCUCUACCAGGACGCACGGUUGGAACAGGAUGGGGUCUUUUCACAGGAGAGACUUGCUGUUCCCUCCAGAAGGAUCUGCAUGGGAAGAGGCCAGAGUUCACGACCUUGAGUGGAGGAUGACCUGGAGAUGCAGGCUGUGUUCUCUGGGUGCCUCUUGUGUGCGGUCAGUCAUGAAGCAGGUAAAAUACCUUUGUCCAAAGCAUUGUCUGGGCCAUAGGACCAGAGCCAGUGUCUGUGAAACCAACAGCGCCGUAUGGGGACUGUCAAGUCAUUGCUCUCCUCUUAACGACCAGUGAGUGAAGGAAAUCCAUGAGCCUUUUCAGUCCCAUCAAUCAUGUGCACAUAUCCCAGCAGGCACUGAUUGCUUGUGAGUGUACACAGCUGCGAACCCAAGGGAACUUGGUUCACUUCAUUCUGUCUUUUACCCCAUAUGGUGCCUGGGAGAGUAAAAUAAAGAUGUCAGGACAGAGCAGAAGUGACGUGCUGUGGCAUUUCUAAGCCUCUGUACAUUUGCUUCACCCACACUGCAGACUCAGGGCUCUUCUCUUCUUCUUGGGCUCUGCCCGUGGUGUUCCUGCACCCUGUGGUGGACUGGGUUGUGCUGGUCACUGAACAGUGGCUGCACUCCAGGCCAAGCACAGAGACCAUGAGAUGGCUACCAAGGCUCUGGACUCUAGCCGAUCAGAGUCUUUGAACAAACUCUUAAACUAGAGCCUGCACGGCCGGUGACCAGCAUCUAAGGAAACAGAAGUCCCCAGGAAAAUACUGCCAUCUUUAACUUCUACAGCCCUGUUUAUGUGCUUACGCGUGUGCGAGUGUGUACGUGCAUAAUCCUAAUGCUUAAAAGAUGUAUUUAAACCAGUCAGGAACUCAAAUAUCGGUGACAUGGAUAGUGUGCCUUUGUUGCUCAAUCAAUGUUUACUGAACUGUUUGAAUGAAAAUGGAAACACACUUGAUAAGGCAAUAUUGUUUUGUCAGCUAAUGGCUUAUGGCAAGGCUGAGCUGAAGGCACACAAAGGCACCUCUAUUUGCAGGGGAUUAUUCAACACAACGCACACUGAUGAUGUUUUCCUAAAGGGAGAGUCUCUAGCCUGAAAUAAUUUGGUACCAGAAGUAUGUUUAUUUUGCCCUGAUGACACACACUGAAGUAAUACAAAGGGGUGAUGGAUUUUACAGUAAGCGCCCAUGGCUGUAUUCAAACACUACAGCCCCCUGCUUGAUCUGGGCUGCUUCUUAAAUGACCAGGACAUUUGAUAGCCAUCUGCCACCCAGCCUGAGAGCAUGGGUGUUUUCAACUUGAGGUGCUGGAGUAUCAUUUACAGUAGUGAAAUGCACCCUGAACUUAGAAUUAAUAGGACCUUAAAGAAUUCAAUAUUUAUGUCUUAUUUUGUAAAUAUAAUUUAUAAAAAUAUUUUCAUCUGCUCUAUAAUUGUCAGAGUCGAGGUGAUUAAAACUUAGCAGUGA